GACGAACGCUGGCGGCGUGCUUAACACAUGCAAGUCGAACGGAAAGGCCCUGCUUUUGUGGGGUGCUCGAGUGGCGAACGGGUGAGUAACACGUGAGUAACCUGCCCUUGACUUUGGGAUAACUUCAGGAAACUGGGGCUAAUACCGGAUAGGAGCUCCUGCUGCAUGGUGGGGGUUGGAAAGUUUCGGCGGUUGGGGAUGGACUCGCGGCUUAUCAGCUUGUUGGUGGGGUAGUGGCUUACCAAGGCUUUGACGGGUAGCCGGCCUGAGAGGGUGACCGGCCAGAGUGGGACUGAGAUGCGGCCCAGGCGCCUACGGGAGGCAGCAGUGGGGAAUAUUGCACAAUGGGCGGAAGCAUGAUGCAGCAACGCCGCGUGCGGGAUGACGGCCUGCGGGUUGUAAACCGCUUUCGCCUGUGACGAAGCGUGAGUGACGGUAAUGGGUAAAGAAGCACCGGCUAACUACGU
This 467-nucleotide ribosomal RNA is filed under the name uncultured bacterium. RNAcentral describes it as "partial 16S ribosomal RNA". It matches the Rfam family "Bacterial small subunit ribosomal RNA", at positions 28 to 506 of the family's 1533-position model. The record is from RNAcentral.